UGCGUAGGCGGACUAAUAAGUCAGUGGUGAAAUCUUUCGGCUCAACCGAGAAACUGCCAUUGAUACUGUUAGUCUUGAGUUCGGUUGAGGUAGGCGGAAUGUGUAAUGUAGCGGUGAAAUGCUUAGAUAUUACACAGAACACCAAUUGCGUAGGCAGCUUACUAGACCGACACUGACGCUGAGGCACGAAAGCGUGGGGAGCGAACAGGAUUAGAUACCCUGGUAGUCCC
RNAcentral lists this ribosomal RNA (230 nucleotides) under uncultured bacterium. Its description in RNAcentral is "partial 16S ribosomal RNA". It matches the Rfam family "Bacterial small subunit ribosomal RNA", at positions 568 to 797 of the family's 1533-position model. The record is from RNAcentral.